RNAcentral lists this microRNA precursor (61 nucleotides) under Limulus polyphemus (Atlantic horseshoe crab). RNAcentral's name for it is "Lpo-Mir-87-P1i_pre stem-loop". The record is from RNAcentral. Lineage: Eukaryota; Metazoa; Arthropoda; Merostomata; Xiphosura; Limulidae.
GUGCCUGAGGUUUUGUCUCAACCUAAACAAAUACCCAAGGUGAGCAAAGUUUCAGGUGUAU